GAUCCUUCUUACCACCUCCUCCCAGUGCCCGGCGCCGCCCGACCUCCUCCCCACCACACCGCUGCUCGGCCUCCUCCCAGCACGCCUCUGGUCGGCCUCCUCCCCACCGCGCCGCCAACCGACCUCUUCCUCCCAACAUGCCGCCAGCCAGCUUCCUCCCAGCGCGCCUCCGGUCGGCAUCCUCCCCACCGCGCCACCGUCCGGCCUCCUCCCCACCGCGCCACCGCCCGGCCUUCUCCUCGAGUGCGCUGCCGCCCGGCCCUCUCCCCAUCGCUGGCAGCGUCUCCAUUCUGCUCCGGCCGGCUCUCUCCCUCCGACCACCAUAGCUCUAACCUCUCGCAUCUCGCACUGCCCCCAUGUGGUUGGAGCACCCUGUCCGUUCACAGCCACCACUUCAGGCCGUUCAACACCACCACCCGAAGCGGUUCACCGUAGCAGAACCCUGGAUCCCGCUUCCACCAUGUAUCUCUCCUCCUGCAGCAUGGCUCAGCUACUGUACUUGGUGGAGGGCAGAGCCUUUCCUCUCUGGAAUGCAAGUGUUCAUGAGGUAGGAGCAGAGAAGGAAGAUGGAAUCUGUUGGCUACGGUGGAGAAGAUGGUGAACUGUGGGAGUACUUCCCUUGCUCUUUCUGCUACAUCUAGGUCAAAAAAGCCCUUCAUCUGCAUCCAUCUGCGGCAGGAACACUGCUUUGACAUCAGGAACUCUGUGAGAGAGCCUCUCCUCUCUUUUCCUUUUGCCUUCUAAUCCCCAAGUGUUCGUUAUUGCAUAUUAGUUUUGAUCAAGACAUAACCUUGAGCUAAUAAAAUAUUCUUGCUGGAAAUGCAUUUACAAAAUUAUUGACAUCUUUUUGUUAGUAAGGCUGUAAGCAAUCUGGAGAUCCCUAGUAUGCCACUAUAUGUUUCUUUAUAGAAUCCCAAAUGGAUUAUAUAACUCCUGAUAAUAGAAUAAAUAUUAUGGAAAAAGCUCAAACACUAUCAUACGGUCAGUUCCAAAAAAUCUGACGAGCACUUGCAAUGUACAUAGUUUUUGCAGAAAAGAUUUCAAAAACUCAGGUUCACCAAUUUAAUGAAUUAUUAUAAGUUCAAUUUUGCUAAUAUCUACAGUUCUGGUUGAGGAAUUUAGGUAGUUCCCCCCACGGUCCUCUGUAUCCAGCACCGCUGACACGCAACCUCUUCUCUGGUUUCUCUUCAUUAUGACAUUCAGUUGCAGUUCAACAAAAAGAACAGGAGAAGUACAUACAUCUCUUUUCUCUCUACUGCUCUUUUCUCUCACUAAUUUGCUUCUCUGUACUGCAGCACGAGGAAGGUUGGACGGACUGCACAAAAAAAAGCUCAGUUCUACAGACAGCCCCCGCUACCCACAUGGACUACUUCCUCCGGUCCUCAUCCAGACGUAGAAUCUCAAUGAUCUAGCAGCAAGCCGUUCGACGUCGUAGCUCGAGAGGUGCCCGUUUCAGCUUUUCCCAACCUCCCCUGGACGUUCAUGCUCCUUCUCUUCAGUAUAUCCAGUUCAACAUCUGGUGGUUCUUCAGUUCAUCGUAGUGUGCAUAUUCACUUCAUCUUAUCGGGAAGCGAGGCACCUCCCGAAGGUCACCGUCAAAGAGCCUCUCUCCGCCACCACGCCUGAUAGUUGAACUUACACGGGAUUACCUGUGAUCAACCGCCCUGCCUCUACAAGCAGGCCCAUCGAGUACCCCUGGAAUCAGUGCGGAUUGGAGAAGGAGAACCAUCGAAAGUGCGAGUUCUGUGACGUCAUCAUUCGCCCAAGUACUUGCAUCAGCUCGUUGGAAUUGGUAUGUGUGCUUGUAACACAAUCUGUUCGGAUCUCGAGAGACCAUAAGUUUGUUGACAAAUAUGUAUAUUAGUUCAUAUCUCAAGAGUCCAUAAUUUUGUAAGGCCAGAAAAUGCAAUGGCUUAGUACAUCAUAGCAGCUCUCCGACGCAGAAAGGAUGGCUCUUCUCAACAACUUCAGGGUAGCUCAGUUAAUAUAGGAGCUGUGCAGUAAACAGCUUCAGUCGAGAAAUCAGCAAGUUGUAUGCAUAGUGUCUUCCAGGCACCAGUUUGUUGUUUCCUAAUCACCCUAAUUCCAAAAAUAUUCUACUCAACUUCGGCGCCAUGCUCAGUCCAACCACAUGGCUUCAGGGUGCUCGAGUUCGUCGCGACCAUCAGUUCAGAGACUCUGCCACUGCGUGUGUCGCAACCAUAGCCACCUGCGUCACUGCGUGCUCCGACAACAGCCUCCCGCGCAAGGAAAGGCAGCAGGAGUAGAGCCGUCUGAGAUGCUCUGUUCUAGCGAGGCGGCUUAUUAUGUUUGUUAGUUUGUAAUACUUUGGCCGCAAUGUACUUGUGUAUCUUUUUCUGAACGGAGCACGACCAGAGAUUAUGUCAUUAUGAACUAUGAUUGUGAUGGUACUACAAACUCUAUAAUAACACCACUAAUCCAUUUUUACUGUUACUUAUCUUUUAUACAAUUCACAUGGAUUGUGCUCCCUAUUACGAACUAUGGUAUAAAA
Long non-coding RNA from Triticum aestivum (bread wheat), 2512 nucleotides. RefSeq lists it as uncharacterized. Lineage: Eukaryota; Viridiplantae; Streptophyta; Magnoliopsida; Poales; Poaceae. The record is from RefSeq and is a predicted model, not a curated record. The transcript is spliced from 7 exons.